Molecule: ribosomal RNA, 497 nt
Filed under: uncultured bacterium
Lineage: Bacteria
Description: partial 16S ribosomal RNA
Rfam family: Bacterial small subunit ribosomal RNA
Source: RNAcentral
GAUGAACGCUGGCGGCGUGCCUAAUACAUGCAAGUCGUGCGAACAGACGAGGAGCUUGCUCCUCUGACGUUAACGGCGGAAGGGAGAGUAACACGAGGAUCACCUACCUAUAAGACUGGGCUAACUUAGGGAAACCGGAGCUAAAACCGGAUAAUAUAUUGAACCGCAUGGUUCAAUAGUGAAAGCCGGUUUUGCUGUCACUUAUAGCUGGCUCCGCGCCGCAUUAGCUAGUUGGUAAGGUAACGGCUUACCAAGGCAACGAUGCGUAGCCGACCUGCGAGGGUGACCGCCCACACAGGGACUGAGAGACGGUCCAGACUCCGACGGGAGGCAGCAGUAGGGAAGCUACCGAGAUGGGCGGAAGCCUGACGGAGCAGCGCCGCGUGGAUGAUGAAGGGCUGCGGAUCGUAAAACGCUGUUAGGAGGGAAGAACAAAUGUGGAAGUAACGAUGCACUUCUUGACGGUACCUAAACAGAAAGCCACGGCUAACUACGUG